CCUACGGGAGGCAGCAGUGAGGAAUAUUGGUCAAUGGCCGAGAGGCUGAACCAGCCAAGUCGCGUGAGGGAAGACGGCCCUACGGGUUGUAAACCUCUUUUGUCGGGGAGCAAAGCGAACCACGUGUGGCUCAUUGAGAGUACCCGAAGAAAAAGCAUCGGCUAACUCCGUGCCAGCAGCCGCGGUAAUACGGAGGAUGCGAGCGUUAUCCGGAUUUAUUGGGUUUAAAGGGUGCGCAGGCGGAGGUGCAAGUCAGCGGUAAAAUUGCGGGGCUCAACCCCGUAGUGCCGUUGAAACUGCAUCCCUUGAGUGCGCGAGAGGUAUGCGGAAUGCGUGGUGUAGCGGUGAAAUGCAUAGAUAUCACGCAGAACUCCGAUUGCGAAGGCAGCAUACCGGCGCGCAACUGACGCUCAUGCACGAAAGCGUGGGUAUCGAACAGGAUUAGAUACCCGAGUAGUC
Molecule: ribosomal RNA, 459 nt
Filed under: uncultured bacterium
Lineage: Bacteria
Description: partial 16S ribosomal RNA
Rfam family: Bacterial small subunit ribosomal RNA
Source: RNAcentral